UGAUGCAGCCAUGCCGCGUGUGUGAAGAAGGCCUUCGGGUUGUAAAGCACUUUCAGUAGGGAGGAAGGUAGUGUAGUUAACACCUGCAUUAUUUGACGUUACCUACAGAAGAAGCACCGGCUAACUCCGUGCCAGCAGCCGCGGUAAUACGGAGGGUGCGAGCGUUAAUCGGAAUUACUGGGCGUAAAAGCGCAUGCAGGCGGCCUGUUAAGUCAGAUGUGAAAGCCCGGGGCUUAACCUCGGAAUUGCAUUUGAAACUGGCAGGCUAGAGUCUUGUAGAGGGGGUAGAAUUUCAGGUGUAGCGGUGAAAUGCGUAGAGAUCUGAAGGAAUACCAGUGGCGAAGGCGGCCCCCUGGACAAAGACUGACGCUCAGAUGCGAAAGCGUGGGGAGCAAACAGGAUUAGAUACCCUGGUAG
This 417-nucleotide ribosomal RNA is filed under the name uncultured bacterium. RNAcentral describes it as "bacterial SSU rRNA". It matches the Rfam family "Bacterial small subunit ribosomal RNA", at positions 384 to 793 of the family's 1533-position model. The record is from RNAcentral.